RNAcentral lists this transfer RNA (59 nucleotides) under Paeonia lactiflora (Chinese peony). Its description in RNAcentral is "tRNA-Met". It matches the Rfam family "tRNA", at positions 7 to 64 of the family's 71-position model. From Rfam's summary of the family: Transfer RNA (tRNA) molecules are approximately 80 nucleotides in length. Their secondary structure includes four short double-helical elements and three loops (D, anti-codon, and T loops). Further hydrogen bonds mediate the characteristic L-shaped molecular structure. tRNAs have two regions of fundamental functional importance: the anti-codon, which is responsible for specific mRNA codon recognition, and the 3' end, to which the tRNAs corresponding amino acid is attached (by aminoacyl-tRNA synthetases). tRNAs cope with the degeneracy of the genetic code in two manners: having more than one tRNA (with a specific anti-codon) for a particular amino acid; and 'wobble' base-pairing, i.e. permitting non-standard base-pairing at the 3rd anti-codon position. RNAcentral also lists the same sequence under 1 other name. Lineage: Eukaryota; Viridiplantae; Streptophyta; Magnoliopsida; Saxifragales; Paeoniaceae. The record is from RNAcentral.
UUAACUCAGCGGUAGAGUAAUGCCAUGGUAAGGCGUAAGUCAUCGGUUCAAAUCCGAUA